CGGCGAGUGAAGCGGCAAAAGCUCAAAUUUGAAAUCUGGCGUCUUCGACGUCCGAGUUGUAAUUUGAAGAAGGCGACUUUGUAGCUGGUCCUUGUCUAUGUUCCUUGGAACAGGACGUCAUAGAGGGUGAGAAUCCCGUGUGGCGAGGAUCCCAGUUAUUUGUAAAGUGCUUUCGACGAGUCGAGUUGUUUGGGAAU
RNAcentral lists this ribosomal RNA (197 nucleotides) under uncultured Saccharomycetaceae. RNAcentral describes it as "partial 26S ribosomal RNA". It matches the Rfam family "Eukaryotic large subunit ribosomal RNA", at positions 87 to 281 of the family's 3401-position model. The record is from RNAcentral. Lineage: Eukaryota; Fungi; Ascomycota; Saccharomycetes; Saccharomycetales; Saccharomycetaceae.